This 305-nucleotide unclassified non-coding RNA is filed under the name plant metagenome. RNAcentral's name for it is "partial contains 5.8S ribosomal RNA, internal transcribed spacer 2, and large subunit ribosomal RNA". The stretch from base 1 to 105 matches the Rfam family "5.8S ribosomal RNA", at positions 50 to 154 of the family's 154-position model. The record is from RNAcentral.
GAAAUGCGAUAAGUAAUGUGAAUUGCAGAAUUCAGUGAAUCAUCGAAUCUUUGAACGCACAUUGCGCCCGCCAGUAUUCUGGCGGGUAUGCCUGUUCGAGCGUCAUUUCAACCAUCAAGCCCCCGGCUUGUGUUGGGGACCUGCGGCUGCCCGCAGGCCCUGAAAAACAGUGGCGGGCUCGCUGUCACACCGAGCGUAGUAGCAUACAUUCUCGCUCAGGGCGUGCUGCGGGUUCCGGCCGUUAAACGACCUUCAUAACCCAAGGUUGACCUCGGAUCAGGUAGGAAGACCCGCUGAACUUAAGC